GAUAAAAGACAGAUGGCUCCAGCAGGUAAAGAUAUACACUUUAUUUCCAGAUCUGGAAAUAAAGUGUAUAUCUUUACCAGCUGGAGCUAUCCAGAUCUGGAA
Pelobates cultripes (western spadefoot toad) is the source of this 102-nucleotide non-coding RNA. Lineage: Eukaryota; Metazoa; Chordata; Amphibia; Anura; Pelobatidae. The record is from the annotation of a GenBank genome assembly.